CCGGCGCACGGGUGAGUAACGCGUAUGCGACCUGCCCGUUGCAGGGGGAUAAUCGGGAGAAAUCCCGUCUAAUACCGCGUAACGCCGCGGGGCUGCAUGGCCCUGCGGCCAAAGGGAGCGAUUCCGGCAACGGAUGGGCAUGCGUGACAUUAGCUAGUUGGCGGGGCAACGGCCCACCAAGGCGACGAUGUCUAGGGGUUCUGAGAGGAAGGUCCCCCACACCGGUACUGAGACACGGACCAGACUCCUACGGGAGGCAGCAG
Molecule: ribosomal RNA, 263 nt
Filed under: uncultured bacterium
Lineage: Bacteria
Description: partial 16S ribosomal RNA
Rfam family: Bacterial small subunit ribosomal RNA
Source: RNAcentral